Molecule: ribosomal RNA, 253 nt
Filed under: uncultured bacterium
Lineage: Bacteria
Description: partial 16S ribosomal RNA
Rfam family: Bacterial small subunit ribosomal RNA
Source: RNAcentral
UACGUAGGUGGAAAGCGUUGUCCGGAUUUAUUGGGGUUAAAGGGUGCGUAGGCGGUCCAUUAAGUCAGUUGUGAAAUACGGCAGCUUAACUGUCGAGGUGCAAUUGAUACUGGUGGACUUGAGUACUGAUGAGGUAGGCGGAAUGGACGGUGUAGCGGUGAAAUGCUUAGAGAUCGUCCAGAACACCGAUAGCGAAGGCAGCUUACUAAAGAGUAACUGACGCUGAGGCACGAAAGUGUGGGGAUCAAACAGG